This 494-nucleotide ribosomal RNA is filed under the name uncultured bacterium. RNAcentral's name for it is "partial 16S ribosomal RNA". It matches the Rfam family "Bacterial small subunit ribosomal RNA", at positions 28 to 507 of the family's 1533-position model. The record is from RNAcentral.
GACGAACGCUGGCGGCGCGCUUAACACAUGCAAGUCGAACGGAAAGGCCUGCUUUCCCUUGUGGAUUGCGGGUACUCGAGUGGCGAACGGGUGAGUAACACGUGAGUGAUCUGCCCCCAACUUGGGUAUAAGCCUGGGAAACUGGGUCUAAUUCCCGAUAGGACUGCAGGGUGGUGCCUGUGGUGGAAAACGAUUUUCUAGUGGUUGGGGAUGAGCUCGCGGCCUAUCAGCUUGUUGGUGGGGUAAUGGCCUACCAAGGCGGCGACGGGUAGCCGGCCUGAGAGGGUGGACGGCGACAUUGGGACUGAGAUACGGCCCAGACUCCUACGGGAGGCAGGAGUGGGGAAUAAUGCACAAUGGGCGGAAGCCUGAGGCAGCGACGCCGCGUGGGGGAUGACGGCCUUCGGGUUGUAAACUCCUUUCGACCGCGAGGAAGCCACCUGGUUGGAAGGGUGGUGACGGUAGUGGUAGAAGAAGCACCGGCUAACUACGUG